RNAcentral lists this long non-coding RNA (3534 nucleotides) under Heterocephalus glaber (naked mole-rat). RNAcentral describes it as "lncRNA (ENSHGLG00100046118.1)". The record is from RNAcentral. Lineage: Eukaryota; Metazoa; Chordata; Mammalia; Rodentia; Bathyergidae.
GGAAAGUCAAAGAAGGGAAACCAAAUUCACAAAAUCCUAACUUACUAAGCCAGAGGCUGAGUGCCCUGUUUCAGGUUGUAAGGGGCAGCUGCACUCUUUCAAGGCAGUGCCCCUUGGCAGCCUGUGAAGUAGGGUGCAGGCUUCCAGGAGAUGGUGUAUGCCCAGUAACGGGAAGUGGGAAGUUGAGUCUGCCCAGCUUCCACUUGCUACCCAGGUAACCAGGAUUGCAAAUGACCUCUGUUACAUUUACUGCACCCCUAAUGAGAUGGGUUGGCCUGUACUUGGUGCACACGGUGGACAAAAUGUUUGCAUUUUUAAAUGCUGGAAUAAUUCUCAGAAUCUGAUAUGCUCACACUGGGAGGCACAGACAGGCACUGAGACCCAGCAAGAGAGCACUUUUGCAGUCCUUGGCAGCCUUUGAGUACAAUAGCAAGCUGACUCUGUUAUGCACAUUCUCUCAGCCUAUGAGAAGAUUGAGGAGAAUUCUGCAAAAUAACUAACCAGUGCUUCCCAAACUGUCAAGGUCAUGCAAAAACAAAACAAAACAAAAAAAAACAGAAAACAAGAAAAGACUGAAAGUGUUCAGAGAUAAGAGGAGAGUCAGAAGACAUGCCGUAUGAUGUCCCAGAGCAGAAAGAAGGCAGUAUGAGAAACCUGCACACACCUGGAAUUUACCUCAUGGUAAUGAACUGAUGUUUGUUUCUUGGGUGUGACAAAUGUACCAAUGCUAAGACAGUUGCUGUUUCCUAGUGUGUGGAAUGGGCCUCUGAGAAACCAGUAUCUUCCAUUGUGGGGAAGCAGAGGCACUCAUGGCCAUGGAGGAAUUUAUACAAGAUGUGCUUCUUUUUCCCUUCAGUUCUUUGCUUAUUCCUGGACUAUCAAGCCAUUCAAAUUGCUGUUCUCCUGCCCUGCUUCUCAGUCACCACGAACUAAGAAGUUUUGUUCUAUCAUACUCUUCUACCAUGCCAUUUCUGCCUUGAAGCAAAUCAACCAUGAAUUCCACCCUCUGAAACCAUGACACAGAUAAACCUCUCAUCCUUUAAGCGGUGGGUAUAAGAUAUUUGUCUCAGCUAUAAGAAAGCUGACUAAUGCAGAACAUUGGUACCAGAGAAGUGAAAGUCAUUGCUAUAAAUGUACUUGAUCAUAUGGUUCAGAAGCCUUUGGAACUGGUUUGUGGGAAGAGUCUUGAAAAAGCCUGGAGAAAGCCUACAAUAUUACAAGCAGAUCUUGAUGAAUGACUCUUGCUAGAGCUCAAAGAUAAGAAUGUUGGUAAUAACAUGGACAGUAUGAGAUUUCAGUUGGGAACUCUAUUGGGAAUUAGGCUAAAGGUCAUGCAUGUUAUACUCUACCACAAGUUCUCUAAUUUUGUUCAUACUCUAAGACUAAAUUUUAGGCCCAUGAGCCAAGAGAAAAAAUCAAGGCAGCCCAAUAUUCAGGCAGUGGUAUGUGUACUUCUGGUUUUUUAAUCCAGAUUUGUAGUGAGAAUCAGGAGCAAAAAACAGAUCAGAAAGUUUUGAAAAGCAUAAGUUUUGACCAGAAAAUUAGCAUAUGUAAAGUUAGCAUCAAGGAGAGUAUGGUUCCUAAAAAAAUUAAUGCUUUUUAAAAGACACCAAAUACUGUGAACUAGGACAAGAAGAAAGAUGUUUUGAGGGCACCUCAGGAACUGGCAAGACUGCAUCCAUCAUAGACUCUAAGGUACAAAAGUGUAGAUCUUUCAUUUGAAGAAAGAGACCCUGGGACCCUUUUCAAGAAGGUCCAUUUAGGAAAUUGGUUUCCCUGGAUUCAUUUCACUGUGUUCAGCCAUCCAGGCCCUCAGAGGCCACUUUAUUGCUCACAUUGGUGGCAGAUCUUGGCACUAUCCACAUAAUGCUGAUUUUUUUGGUAUACAGAAUGCUAUGGAAACAUUAAGGCUUCCACUCAGAUUUUAAAGAAAGGCCUUGAACACCAGGCAAAAAUGUGUGACAGUGUCAGUGUCCCUGCCAGAAGCUACUGAGAGCACAAUGGGUGUAGCUGUAGGAAUGAAGCCAAAGGUAUAAUGGAGACCCCAGGAAACUAGGGAUUUUAGGAGCAAGGAAAGCUGUGGCAACGAGUACAGCCAGCCCAGGAUAGAGGUCAUGUGAGCUGAAACUGGCAAAACCAUAGGGAUGGUGUUGCCCAAACCCUUUGGCACUCACAUUUCACCACCAUGUUCCCUGGAUUCCAGACGUGUAGCUAUAAGAUCUAACACUUGCCUUGCUGGUUUUCAGUCUUGCUUUGGUCCUAUUCUUCUUUAUUUCCUCCCCUUAUUCAUUUCUCUUUUUGAGAUGAGAGUGUUUACCCUGUACAGUUUUAUAUUGAGAAUAUGUAACUUGCUUUUUGAAUUUUCAGACGUUUGUAGCCAAGGGCUUACUUUGAGUCUCAGGGGAUAUUUUGAACUUAAAUUUAUGAAUAAUGCUGGAAUUGGUGAAACUUUAGGGUGGACAUUGAAGGACCCUAGUUAGUAAGACAGACUCCAUAUUGCUGCUUGACCCACCUGCCUGCCCUUUACAUGAACUCAGAAGGAGGAAGCUUAGAAACCUCCUCCCCUUAGAGUUUCUUAGAAGCAACAAUUAAUCAACUAUUGUUUUACAAAUGUUCUAAGGACAGGGUGUUCAGCUUCUGUACCUUUUGCUUGCUUUGCUAGUUCUAUCCCAUAGGGGGCCCCAGAAACUGCUGGCCUCAAAGAUGCAUAAAAUAUGUUAAUCUCCCCCAGUCAGGGCUUGAGUCUGAUGCUUGGCUCAGGUCCCAGCCAGUAAUAAACUGCUGUGUGGAUUUAAUAUCAGUCUCUGGUUGGUUCUUUCUCACUGGGUCCAACAGACAUUAUUGCAUUUUUGGUUGUAUGUGGGAUACUUACAUCAUGUUAAGUAGAUUCAUGACUUUGUGUUUAUUUGGAGAUUAAGUGUGACUUAAGAAAAUAUGUUUGGGUGUCAGGAAGGGGUGGAAUAUGAUGGUCACCAUGAACUAAGCACCUUUGCUCUGCUAUGCCCUUCCACCACAAUGUUCCUGUCUUGGGGACAGCUGGCCAUAUAUUGAACCCUUUGAAAACAAGAGCCAAUUAAACCUCUCAUCCUUUAUGUUGUAACUGUUGGGUAUUUUGUGCCAGAGAUGGUAAAGCUGAACAAUAUAGGCUAUAUAUUUAACUUUAUAAGAACAUCUAAACAAAUAUUCCAGUUGGUUAGUUGCUCUUUGUGUCUACCAGCAGCUAUUUAAUAAGCCUGAAUUAAGUUAUUUUAAAAAUGCCAAAAUUUGUAUGCAAAGGAAUGCCUCCCCUUUAAUGUCUAAUUGUUGACUAUCUCUAUCCCAAAGUUUAUGCUUAAUAAAUAGUGUGGACUUGUUUUUUUAAGUGAAUGUUAACUGCAUUUGAUGGCUCUUAAAUGUUUAUGUGAAAACUCUCAAAUUACACAUAUACUUUAGCCUCGGAGGCAUCUAACUUCAGUGUGUAGAUCAGCUUGUACCCUCAAGUUUUAUUUUCUGUUAAGUUAUUGUGCCUAAAGAAUACCAGUUGGAACAUAGUAG